CGAAUGGGGAAACCCAGUGGAAGUAAUGUUCCACUAUCCCGUACUGAAUCCAUAGGUGCGGGAAGCGAGACGCGGGGAAGUGAAACAUCUCAGUACCCGCAGGAGAAGAAAUCAACCGAGAUUCCGCAAGUAGUGGCGAGCGAACGCGGAGAAGGCUAAACCGUCCGGUUUACCGGGCGGGGUUGCGGGACUUCAAUACGGCAAGACCAGUCGAUAGCGGAAGCUGUUGGAAAGCAGCGGCAUAGAAGGUGAUACCCCUGUAUGCGAAAUUGACUGUAAGCCCAGAAGGAUCCCAAGUAGGUCGGAACACGUGAAACUCUGACUGAAUCCGGGGGGCCCACCCUCCAAGCCUGAAUACUCGAUCGUGACCGAUAGCGCAUAGUACCGCGAGGGAAAGGUGAAAAAGUACCCCGGAAGGGGAGUGAAAAGUAUCUGAAAUCAUGUGUCUACAAAGUGUCGGAGCGAAAGCGACGGCAUGCCUUUUGCAUAAUGAGCCUGCGACUUACUCUAACGAGCGAGGUUAAGCCGAGUGCGGAGCCGAAGCGAAAGCGAGUGUGAAUAGCGCGUCUAGUUCGUUGGAGUAGACCCGAAGCUGAGUGAUCUAUCCAUGGCCAGGUUGAACCUGCAGUAACAUGCAGCGGAGGACCGAACCAGUUCAUGUUGAAAAAUGUUUGGAUGAGCUGUGGAUAGGGGUGAAAGGCCAAUCAAACUCAGUGAUAGCUGGUUCUCUUCGAAAUAGCUUUAGGGCUAGCCUUGCGUAAAUAGUUUGUGGGGGUAGAGCUACUGAUUGUUCGCGGGCCCUUACCGGGGUACCAAGAACUAUUAAACUCCGAAUACCAUGAACCGUACCGCAGGAGUCAGACUAUGGGGGAUAAGCUUCAUGGUCGAGAGGGAGACAGCCCAGACCGCCGGCUAAGGUCCCCAAUCCGGACUUAGUGGUUUGAAGGAUGUGAUGUUGCAUAAACAGCCAGGAUGUUGGCUUAGAGGCAGCCAUCAUUUAAAGAGUGCGUAAUAGCUCACUGGUCGAGUGAUAUCGCGCCGAAGAUGAUCGGGACUGAAGUCCAGAACCGAAGCCGCGGAUCGUGAAUUUAUUCACGGUGGUAGAAGAGCGUUGUAUGCGGGUCGAAGCCGAAGAGGGAUCUGAGGUGGACUGCAUACAAGUGACCAUGCAGGCAUGAGUAGCGAAAAACCGGAUGAGAAUUCCGGUCACCGAAAACCUAAGGUUUCCCGGGGAAGGUUCGUCCGCCCGGGGUUAGUCGGAACCUAAGGCGAGGCCGAAAGGCGUAGUCGAUGGAGGACAGGUUAAUAUUCCUGUACCACCUUGUUGGAGUGAUGGAGGGACGCAGUAAGUCAGGUGAGCCAACUGCUGAAUAUGUUGGUCGAAGGCCGUAGGGCGCACGAUAGGCAAAUCCGUCGUGCUUUCAACCCGAGAGUCGUAAGGUAGCCGAACGCAAGUUUGGCGAAUUCACUGUGACGACGCUGACGAGAAAAGCUUCUAAACGUUGAAAACAGGGUGUCCGUACCGAAACCGACACAGGUAGGUGAGGCGAGCAGCCUAAGGUGCGCGAGAGAAACCAACGUUAAGGAACUCGGCAAAUUGACCCCGUAACUUAGGGAUAAGGGGUGCCGCUUCAGGUGAAGGGACUUGCUCCCGGAGCCCAGAGCGGUUGCAACAAAGAGGCUGGUGCGACUGUUUAACAAAAACACAGCUCUAUGCUAACUCGCAAGAGGAUGUAUAUGGAGUGACACGUGACCAAUGCCAAAAGGUCAAUGGGAGAGGUUAGCGCAAGCGAAGCUUCGAUCUGAAGCCCUGGUGAAUGUCGGCCGUAACUAUAACGGUCCUAAGGUAGCGAAAUUCCUUGUCGGG
Molecule: ribosomal RNA, 1867 nt
Filed under: human gut metagenome
Description: bacterial LSU rRNA
Rfam family: Bacterial large subunit ribosomal RNA
Source: RNAcentral